Molecule: ribosomal RNA, 442 nt
Filed under: Rhytismataceae sp. T4N2a(C)
Lineage: Eukaryota; Fungi; Ascomycota; Leotiomycetes; Rhytismatales
Description: eukaryotic LSU rRNA
Rfam family: 5.8S ribosomal RNA (bases 134-287)
Source: RNAcentral
CAUUAAAGAAUACAAGGCCUUCGGGUCCUAUUCUCACCCUUUGUAUACCAAAACUCUUGUUGCCUUGGCGCUUCGUGCGCCGAAGGAAGUAAACCCUUGAAUCUCUGCUGUCUGAGUACUAUAUAAUAGUUAAAACUUUCAACAACGGAUCUCUUGGUUCUGGCAUCGAUGAAGAACGCAGCGAAAUGCGAUAAGUAAUGUGAAUUGCAGAAUUCAGUGAAUCAUCGAAUCUUUGAACGCACAUUGCGCCUCCUGGCAUUCCGGGAGGCAUGCCUGUUCGAGCGUCAUUACAACCCUCAAGCUCAGCUUGGUCUUGGGCUCGCCUCCUUUGGCCUGCCUCAAAAUCAGUGGCGGCACAAUCCGAUCCUUAAGCGCAGUAAUACACGACGCUUACUUGUGUGAAGAUUGCGGCUCCAGAAACCCCCACAAACUAAAGGUUGAC